CCUGAGGGACAAUCCGUGGAACUUUGUAUGCUUUUGGAGUGAGGUCGGUUGCUAGAGACAAGAUGUGCUAUGUAGAAUGUUUAGGAGACUUUCCUGAGAGAUUCUUUGAGAUGCAUAGUUGCCGGCUGGAGAAGACAUCAGUCUUUUGUAACGUUGGCUUGAUUUUGGAAGUUUGAUAUGAAAGAAAGACCUGAAGAUAUGCAAAGGCAAGUGGAAAAAAUGCUAUUAAGAUGAUUGAAAUUGAGA
Molecule: non-coding RNA, 246 nt
Organism: Vicugna pacos (alpaca)
Lineage: Eukaryota; Metazoa; Chordata; Mammalia; Artiodactyla; Camelidae
Source: RefSeq, a predicted model, not a curated record